RNAcentral lists this ribosomal RNA (678 nucleotides) under uncultured bacterium. Its description in RNAcentral is "bacterial SSU rRNA". It matches the Rfam family "Bacterial small subunit ribosomal RNA", at positions 8 to 678 of the family's 1533-position model. The record is from RNAcentral.
AGAGUUUGAUCAUGGCUCAGGAUGAACGCUGGCGGCGUGGCUAAGACAUGCAAGUCGAACGGACCAGUAAUUUAUUAUUGGUUAGUGGCGUAAGGGUUAGUAAUGGAUAGGUAACGUACCCCGGGCACCGGGACAGCGUCAGUAGCUUCGGCUACUUUCCGAAAGGGGCGGUAAUACCGGAUAACAUCCGUCACCGAUAGGUGACGGAUCAAAUGAUUUAUCGGCCUGGGAGCGGCCUAUCUCCUAUCAGCUUGUUGGCGGGGUAAAUGCCCACCAAGGCUAAGACGGGUAGCGGGACUGAGAGGUUGGCCCGCAACAUCGGGACUGAGACACUGCCCGGACCUCCACGGAGGGCUGCAGUAACGAAUAUUGCGCAAUGGGCGAAAGCCUGACGCAGCGACGCCGCGUGCGGGAGGAAGUCCUUUGGGAUGUAAACCGCUUUUAGGGGUUAGAAAGUGCACUUCGGUGGAUUGAUCAGCCCCGGAAAAAGUCACGGCUAACUUCGUGCCAGCAGCCGCGGUAAGACGAAGGUGGCGAGCGUUGUUCGGUGUCACUGGGCUUAAAGCGUGUGUAGGCGGAAGCGUAAGCGUCAUGUGAAAUCCCUCGGCUUAACCGAGGAAUUGCUUGGCGAACUGCGUUUCUUGAGGCAGGUAGGGGUCAGUGGAACUGUUGGUGGAG